Molecule: ribosomal RNA, 892 nt
Filed under: uncultured bacterium
Lineage: Bacteria
Description: bacterial SSU rRNA
Rfam family: Bacterial small subunit ribosomal RNA
Source: RNAcentral
GUGCCAGCCGCCGCGGUAAUACGUAGGUGGCAAGCGUUGUCCGGAUUUAUUGGGCGUAAAGCGAGCGCAGGCGGUUUCUUAAGUCUGAUGUGAAAGCCUUCGGCUCAACCGAAGAAGUGCAUCGGAAACUGGGAAACUUGAGUGCAGAAGAGGACAGUGGAACUCCAUGUGUAGCGGUGAAAUGCGUAGAUAUAUGGAAGAACACCAGUGGCGAAGGCGGCUGUCUGGUCUGUAACUGACGCUGAGGCUCGAAAGCAUGGGUAGCAAACAGGAUUAGAUACCCUGGUAGUCCAUGCCGUAAACGAUGAGUGCUAGGUGUUGGAGGGUUUCCGCCCUUCAGUGCCGCAGCUAACGCAUUAAGCACUCCGCCUGGGGAGUACGACCGCAAGGUUGAAACUCAAAGGAAUUGACGGGGGCCCGCACAAGCGGUGGAGCAUGUGGUUUAAUUCGAAGCAACGCGAAGAACCUUACCAGGUCUUGACAUCCUUUGACCACUCUAGAGAUAGAGCUUUCCCUUCGGGGACAAAGUGACAGGUGGUGCAUGGUUGUCGUCAGCUCGUGUCGUGAGAUGUUGGGUUAAGUCCCGCAACGAGCGCAACCCUUAUUACUAGUUGCCAGCAUUAAGUUGGGCACUCUAGUGAGACUGCCGGUGACAAACCGGAGGAAGGUGGGGACGACGUCAAAUCAUCAUGCCCCUUAUGACCUGGGCUACACACGUGCUACAAUGGAUGGUACAACGAGUUGCGAGACCGCGAGGUUUAGCUAAUCUCUUAAAACCAUUCUCAGUUCGGAUUGUAGGCUGCAACUCGCCUACAUGAAGCCGGAAUCGCUAGUAAUCGCGGAUCAGCAUGCCGCGGUGAAUACGUUCCCGGGCCUUGUACACACCGCCCGU